Molecule: ribosomal RNA, 492 nt
Filed under: uncultured bacterium
Lineage: Bacteria
Description: partial 16S ribosomal RNA
Rfam family: Bacterial small subunit ribosomal RNA
Source: RNAcentral
AGUGAACGUUGGGGGGAGGAAGAACAAAGGCAAGUCGAACGGCAGCACAGUAAGAGCUUGCUCUUACGGGUGGCGAGUGGCGGACGGGUGAGGAAUACAUCGGAAUCUACUUUUUCGUGGGGGAUAACGUAGGGAAACUUACGCUAAUACCGCAUACGACCUACGGGUGAAAGCAGGGGAUCUUCGGACCUUGCGCGAUUGAAUGAGCCGAUGUCGGAUUAGCUAGUUGGCGGGGUAAAGGCCCACCAAGGCGACGAUCCGUAGCUGGUCUGAGAGGAUGCACAGCCACACUGGAACUGAGACACGGUCCAGACUCCUACGGGAGGCAGCAGUGGGGAAUAUUGGACAAUGGGCGCAAGCCUGAUCCAGCCAUACCGCGUGGGUGAAGAAGGCCUUCGGGUUGUAAAGCCCUUUUGUUGGGAAAGAAAAGCAGCAGGUUAAUACCCCGCUGUUCUGACGGUACCCAAAGAAUAAGCACCGGCUAACUUCGUG